AAUUAUUAAGCUGUAAAUAGCAAGUAACUUGAAAUUACUGAUUAAGAAGUAAAGUCUUCUAAUAAUUU
RNAcentral lists this transfer RNA (68 nucleotides) under Eupristina koningsbergeri. Its description in RNAcentral is "tRNA-Ser". Lineage: Eukaryota; Metazoa; Arthropoda; Insecta; Hymenoptera; Agaonidae. The record is from RNAcentral.